GGCUGGUCCGAUGGCAGUGGGUUAUCAGAACUUAUUAACAUUAGUGUCACUAAAGUCACCACCACCCCCACACACUGCUAAAUUUGACUGGCUUUAA
Cavia porcellus (domestic guinea pig) is the source of this 97-nucleotide unclassified non-coding RNA. It matches the Rfam family "Y RNA". Rfam says of the family: Y RNAs are components of the Ro ribonucleoprotein particle (Ro RNP), in association with Ro60 and La proteins. The Y RNAs and Ro60 and La proteins are well conserved, but the function of the Ro RNP is not known. NCBI's taxonomy places the organism in Eukaryota, Metazoa, Chordata, Mammalia, Rodentia, Caviidae. The record is from Ensembl.